Molecule: unclassified non-coding RNA, 232 nt
Filed under: uncultured Boletellus
Lineage: Eukaryota; Fungi; Basidiomycota; Agaricomycetes; Boletales; Boletaceae
Description: sequence contains ITS1
Source: RNAcentral
AUGAAACACACGAGUCGAGGAAGAAGGGGAAGUGAGAAAGACUGUCGCUGGCUCUGUGUUCCCAUGGAGUAAUGUGCACGUCCAUCGCUUUUCCCCUUUCUCGUUCGUAAAUUCACGCUCACACCUGUGCACCAUGGUAGAUCACCUUCGAAAGAGGGGGGGUCUAUGUUCAUCAUAUUUAUGAUCACGCUCGUCGUAUGGCCAUAGAAUGAUAAAUGUUAUGAAUGUAGUA